GACGAACGCUGGCGGCGUGCUUAACACAUGCAAGUCGAACGGAAAGGCCCUGCUUUUGUGGGGUGCUCGAGUGGCGAACGGGUGAGUAACACGUGAGUAACCUGCCCUUGACUUUGGGAUAACUUCAGGGAACUGGGGCUAAUACCGGAUAGGAGCUCCUGCUGCAUGGUGGGGGUUGGAAAGUUUCGGCGGUUGGGGAUGGACUCGCGGCUUAUCAGCUUGUUGGUGGGGUAGUGGCUUACCAAGGCUUUGACGGGUAGCCGGCCUGAGAGGGUGACCGGCCACAUUGGGACUGAGAUACGGCCCAGACUCCUACGGGGGGCAGCAGUGGGGAAUAUUGCACAAUGGGCGGAAGCCUGAUGCAGCAACGCCGCGUGCGGGAUGACGGCCUUCGGGUUGUAAACCGCUUUCGCCUGUGACGAAGCGUGAGUGACGGUAAUGGGUAAAGAAGCACCGGCUAACUACGUG
RNAcentral lists this ribosomal RNA (468 nucleotides) under uncultured bacterium. RNAcentral's name for it is "partial 16S ribosomal RNA". It matches the Rfam family "Bacterial small subunit ribosomal RNA", at positions 28 to 507 of the family's 1533-position model. The record is from RNAcentral.